UAUGAACCGUUAUAACCGGCGAUACCCGAAUGGGGAAACCCAGUGUGACUCGUCACACUAUCAUUAACUGAAUCCAUAGGUUAAUGAGGCGAACCGGGGGAACUGAAACAUCUAAGUACCCCGAGGAAAAGAAAUCAACCGAGAUUCCCCCAGUAGCGGCGAGCGAACGGGGAGGAGCCCAGAGCCUGAAUCAGCAUGUGUGUUAGUGGAAGCGUCUGGAAAGGCGCGCGAUACAGGGUGACAGCCCCGUACACAAAAGCGCAUGUGCUGUGAGCUCGAUGAGUAGGGCGGGACACGUGGUAUCCUGUCUGAAUAUGGGGGGACCAUCCUCCAAGGCUAAAUACUCCUGACUGACCGAUAGUGAACCAGUACCGUGAGGGAAAGGCGAAAAGAACCCCGGCGAGGGGAGUGAAAAAGAACCUGAAACCGUGUACGUACAAGCAGUGGGAGC
RNAcentral lists this ribosomal RNA (451 nucleotides) under Salmonella enterica subsp. enterica serovar Saintpaul. Its description in RNAcentral is "bacterial LSU rRNA". It matches the Rfam family "Bacterial large subunit ribosomal RNA", at positions 89 to 580 of the family's 2925-position model. Lineage: Bacteria; Pseudomonadati; Pseudomonadota; Gammaproteobacteria; Enterobacterales; Enterobacteriaceae. The record is from RNAcentral.